CAGCAGUGAGGAAUAUUGGUCAAUGGCCUAACGGCUGAACCAGCAACUUGGAGGAAUGUAUAGCAAUAGCUACUUGCAUCAUUAUAAAUAUGAUGCAAGAUUGACUAUGUCGAAUAAAAUUCUAGGUAGAAUUAUGAUAAUGACAUUAUCUGCCUAAGUGUCUUGACCAAAUUACGUGCCAGCAGUCGCGGUAAUACGUAGAAGACUAGUGUUAUUCAUGUUUAAUCGGUUUAAAGGGUACCUAGACGGUAAAUCAAGCUUAAAAAAAGACAAACAAAAAAGGGACUAAUUUACUAGAGUUACUUGUGAGGGGGUAUUAAAGUACUGCUGGUGUAGAGAUGAAAUUCUGUCAUACCUCUUUUCAAUUGAAAAAUCAUGGCACAGGUAUAGGCGAAGGCAUCCCCUUAUGUGAUAACUGACGUUGAGGGACGAAGGCUUUGUGUAGCGAACAGGAUUAGAUACCCUAGUAGUCAAAGGAGAAAAUGAUGAAUGUCAUAGAUUAGAUAAAUAAGUUUAGUAGUUUAUUCUAUAAAUGAAAGUGUAAGCAUUCCACCCUCAAGAGUAAUUUGGCAACAUUGGAACUGAAAUCAUUAGACCGUUUCUGAAACCAGUAGUGAAGUAUGUUAUUUAAUUCGAUGAUCCGC
Molecule: ribosomal RNA, 644 nt
Filed under: Anzia opuntiella
Lineage: Eukaryota; Fungi; Ascomycota; Lecanoromycetes; Lecanorales; Parmeliaceae
Description: SSU rRNA
Rfam family: Bacterial small subunit ribosomal RNA
Source: RNAcentral